GACGAACGCUGGCGGCGUGCUUAAUACAUGCCAGUCGAACGGACAGGCCAUGCUUUUGUGGGGUGCUCGAGUGGCGAACGGGUGAGUAACACGUGUGUAAACUGCACCUGUCUUUCGGAUAACUUCAGGAAACUGGGGAUCAUACAGGAUAGGAGCUCCUGCUGCAUGGUGUGGGUUGGUAAGUUUCGGCGGUUGUGGAUGGACUCGCGGCUUAUCAGCUUGUUGGUGGGGUAGUGGCUUACCAAGGCUUUGACGGGUAGCCGGCCUGGGAGGUGUACCGGCGACAUUGCGACUAAGAUACGGCCCAGACUCCUACGGGAGGCAGCAGUGGAGAAUAUGACACAAUGGGCGGAAGCCUGAUGCAGCAACGCCGCGUGCGUGAUGACGGCCUUCGGGGGGUAAACCGCUUUCGCCGGUGACGAAGCGUGAUUGACGGUAAUGGGUAAAGAAGCACCGGCUAACUACGUG
Molecule: ribosomal RNA, 468 nt
Filed under: uncultured bacterium
Lineage: Bacteria
Description: partial 16S ribosomal RNA
Rfam family: Bacterial small subunit ribosomal RNA
Source: RNAcentral